This 2958-nucleotide long non-coding RNA is filed under the name Cricetulus griseus (Chinese hamster). RNAcentral describes it as "lncRNA (ENSCGRG00015033052.1)". The record is from RNAcentral. Lineage: Eukaryota; Metazoa; Chordata; Mammalia; Rodentia; Cricetidae.
GGGCUGGAGGGCUGGCUCAGAGGUUAAGAACACUGACUGCUCUUCCAGAGGUCCUGAGUUCAAUUCCCACCAACCACAUGGUGUCUCACAACCAUCCUUUAUGAGGUGCCCUCUUCUGGUGUGCAGAUAUACAUGGGAGCAGAAUGUUGUAUACAUAAUAAAUAAAUAAAAUCUUUAAAAAAAGAUGUUAAAGGAAAAGAUGAAGACACAAGAAUAAAAUCAGGAGGGUGAAUCAGUCAAUACUGAAAUGCCACAAGUUCAUUUUUUACCACUCUUAUAUACCUUAACCAAAAAGGGGAACAUGAUGUUAUGCCCAGAUUGCAGAACCCCAAAAAUCCACCACUGAGGAAGUGACACACCAAAUGUAAAAACACAGGUUUCUUUAUGAUUUGCAACUCGGACCCUGCCCUUUUGGGAACAAGCAGAGUGCCAUUUUUUGUCUUUUGUUUUUUUUGGCUGAGGUUUUUUUUUUUUUAAAUAUUUUAUUUAUUUAUUAUUAUACAACAUUCCUCUUCCAUGUAUAUCUGCACACCAGAAGAGGGCACCAGAUCUCAUAACGGAUGGUUGUGAGCCAACAUGUGGUUGCUGGGAAUUGAACUCAGGACCUCUGGAAGAGCAGUCAGUGCUCUUAACCUCUGAUCCAUCUCUCCAGCCCCGGCUGAGGGUUUUUAAAGGGGAAAGUUCAAAAGACUGAUGUCCUCAGAUUACAGAGUUUUAUGGUUACAUAGGAUGAAACAAUAAUUGUAUGUUCAGGCAGGAAGCAAUUAAGCAGGAAGCUGUAGAGGAAAUAAGUUUGUUAAUUAUCUCCUGGGCAGGGACUUUUACAACUAUGAAUUGACAACUAUCUAUCUGAUCUUCUUUAGGAUGGAGAAAUGUUGACACAGCUGGGGGGUGUUAUCUGUUCCCAGGCCUCUGUACCCAGUUCUUUGUUUAGCCUUUUCUGUUGGGAUGCCUUUUUGGGAACUCAGAGAGGCUUAAGAGUUUUCCUAUUUGGGCUUUGGAGUCCAAGUUUUAGACUUUUAUUAAUUUUCCCAUUUUACUCCUUUCAAUGGUAUCAUGUAUGCAGAACAAACCUUUUCUUCCUCUUUUCUCGAAGGGUUCAGUAACCACUCCUUAGAUUCAACUUCUCCUUACUUAGCCUUGAGGGUCAGGAGUAACCACACCUCAGACCAGGUCUGUUGUUAUUUAUAAUAAGACAGCCAGGCUGGAGAGAUGGCUCAGUGGUUAAGAGCACCCUCUGCUCUUCUAGAGGGUCCUGAGUUCAAUUCCCAGUAACCACAGCCAUCUGUAAUGAGAUCUAGUGCCAUCUUCUGGUCUGCAGGCAAACAUGCAGGCAGAACACUGUAGACAUAGUAAAUUUAUUAUGUAGACAUAAUAAAUAAAUCUAAAAUAAAAAAUAAGACAGCCAAGGCCAAGUUCUAACACCCUUGUUAGGGGGAGGGACCUUUAUGGGAGGAACACCCUCAGCCAUGCCCUUGACCUUUAGGUCUUAUGACUAAGGACAGUUUUGCCUUUGAGCCAAGUUGGGGUGCAGCCAUCUUAUGGGCACCAACAAAUUCCCCCUUCUUAAUUUAAUUAAUACCUGUGCUUCUGCUACAGGACAGAUGACUGUGUCUGUCUUAGCUUGUCUUCUUCCACUUUCCAGCCUUACCUAUCAUCAGAACACACAUUCUGUCAUACGUGACCUGUCUUAGGUUUCCUGGAGGCAAAAAGAUCUUACCCGUCUUUGACCAACAGCCUCUGUAAUAAAAAUGUUAGGGGAUAGUGUGUAGCUUGAUGUCAUGCACCUCUGGGCCAACUUUUCAUUGAGAGUUCACAAGCAAGCUUGAUAAUGCUGAGCAAUACAUAUGCUUUUGUGGCUACAACAUCUAUUAAAGGAAUAAAGGAUGAUGGAAAUGAAAUGGCCUUUUAAAAUUGGUCUGGGAUGUCUGGAGUAGCUUUAGAUGUAUCAAAAUCUAAAUCUGCCUUUUUAAUUACAUUGAAUCUAAUGACUCAUAAGCAUCAUGUCAGAUUCCUAACAGAAAUGAGCUCUGACUUUUCAUCCAUUAACACUUACAUAGUAUGGCAAAGAUUACAAACAUUAAUAAUUCCAGUAUGAUUAUUAACAAUAGACACAUAAUUGGCAGGAUUACAAUUCUCAUAAUUUUAAAUCAAUCAAAGGACAGACAAUAAAAUGUUUUCAUGGUAGGUGAAGUAUGAAUAACUCUGCAAUUCUGAGCCUUUUCUUUUUCCCUCUCUUAAAGUCCAGUGCACUGCUGCUUGUAAUUUCCAAAGAUAAGUUUGAGACAAUACAGUCCUUGAGUGCUGAAUACCAGCUGCAAAACUUUUGUCCAUCCCCUUUUCAUAUAUUGAGGAUUUUUUUGCCACAUCAUUUCUACAAUAGUGUCCAAUUGUCCUUCCCCAAGAGGAAGACUGGCAAAGAGGAGUUCUGUGUCCCAAGAUGUAAUGUGGAUAAACUGCCAGACAUUUCAUUUCUUGUCAGGAUCCAGGAUAAAACUCACAGAAGUCUGGGAAGUUGAUGCAGCAGGCUUGUUGAGAAACUGGAAAUCUCCAACCAUAGUCUCUUUUCCUUCUCGGACUGAAGAAGGAUGACAUCAGAGGGCCAGGCACACAGCCUCAGCAGAUCUCACUGGAAUUCGUUUGGGCGGGUUCCGCAGUCACAGGUUCCUCUGCUCCACACAUCUCACCAGGCGUCUGGCAGCCACUGAGCCUCCUUUUCUUCCUUUGAGAAAACACAAAUAUGCCCUCAACACCAUAUUAAAACAGGAGUGGAUUCUUUCCAUAGUCUAGUGCAAGGAGCUUUCCAUUUGGUUUGAGCAAAAGUCACUCGAGUUCUAUCAUGCCAGGAUCUAUCCGCGGCAGAUUGCUCACGGGCAUCCACAUUCAGAAAAUUUAAAAUGCAGAGUGCGUGAUUUAAUGCAUUAUGUGGAGACUGGGGCACGUCUCCCCUCUACUUAG